Molecule: ribosomal RNA, 449 nt
Filed under: uncultured bacterium
Lineage: Bacteria
Description: SSU rRNA
Rfam family: Bacterial small subunit ribosomal RNA
Source: RNAcentral
AGAGCGAACGCUGGCGGCAGGCUUAACACAUGCAAGUCGAGCGGGCGUAGCAAUACGUCAGCGGCAGACGGGUGAGUAACGCGUGGGAACGUACCUUUUGGUUCGGAACAACACAGGGAAACUUGUGCUAAUACCGGAUAAGCCCUUACGGGGAAAGAUUUAUCGCCGAAAGAUCGGCCCGCGUCUGAUUAGCUAGUUGGUGAGGUAACGGCUCACCAAGGCGACGAUCAGUAGCUGGUCUGAGAGGAUGAUCAGCCACAUUGGGACUGAGACACGGCCCAAACUCCUACGGGAGGCAGCAGUGGGGAAUAUUGGACAAUGGGCGAAAGCCUGAUCCAGCCAUGCCGCGUGAGUGAUGAAGGCCCUAGGGUUGUAAAGCUCUUUUGUGCGGGAAGAUAAUGACGGUACCGCAAGAAUAAGCCCCGGCUAACCUUCGCGCCAGCAGCCGC